UAUUGUUAGCCAAAGUUAAUUUUUCAAUCAGCUUGGAAAUUGGUAAAUAUUUCACUGUUUUAAAAACCUUUACCUGUAAAUGCAUAAGGAAUAUUUCUGGAUCAUAUGUAUGUAAUUGGAUUUUGUGUUCAACGAGUGAAACAUAUGAUUAAAAUCGGAGAAAAGUUUACCCAUCUUCUAAAAAUUCAUUGGAAAGUGCGGAAGCAGUAAACAGGAUGGUAGACCAUGCCGAACACGUUCGGCAGCUAGCUCACUGGACUAAGGAUGAAAUCAAUGAUCUCCUCGAAAAUAACGAAUGUCCAGGUCAUUGGUUUAAUAAUCCGGUGCCAACUUAUGCUCUUUUAGAAGAGAUACGCUCUGCCAUUGAUGAAUCACAGAGUAUGUAUUAUCGGAAAGCUUUUCCUUUAGUUUUAAAUUUUCUUGGGCUAAAACAACCAACACAUUUGGUAGGUUUAAUCUCAAAGAUCAAGCGCCAUGUUUAAAAAGCUGUGAAAACAGGAAAUUACAAUAUCGUUAGCAAAAAGAUUAAACAUAUUUGUUUGGUGCCAAGUGGUAAAAAACUAAUAACAUAUAUUGGUAAGGUUUUACGUAUAAUUAAUUCAAGGAUAUUGAAGAACUGAUGGAAGAUGAAUACCAGUCUUAUUAUGACAAGGGAUAUACAUUUUAUACUAUUGUAUAUGAUCCCCCGUAUAACCACUUUAAAAUUUUGUGCAUCUGAUAUACUUUAAUUUUUGUUUUGAGUGCUAUACCUACUAUAAAUGAUUUGAAUUUAUCUUUCUUUCAACUAUACAUCAGACUCAAAAUAUCGUUAAGAGUAUUUACAUAAAAAUGUAAAUAUAAACUUGAAUAACAAAAUUGCCAUCAGGAAUACAUCAAAUUGAAGAAUAGGCCUAUUGAAAAGCCUUCAAUUGCUUAAACUUUCACUAAUGUGAAAGAUCAUUCCAUUUCUUACCUAAUGUGGAUACAUUUCGUUUGAGUUCGACCACACACGAUAUCAGUUUGUUUUCAGGUGUAUUAAUGCGCAAAAUGAAAAAAAAUUAUUAGAUUUUUAGAUGAAUAUUUAUAAAAAUAACGAAGACCCAACAGUAGUAACAAACAGGAUACUAGCAAAAAAUCUCUAUUUUUUUAAGAAGCAUUCUAAGAGAGUUGUUAUAUGCCAUAUUUAGGAUAAGUAUAUAUUUAGGGGAUUCUGAUCAGAUAAUUGAUAACUGUUGCCGGCACCAGGAUGACUUGUGCUGGCAGCAGUUAAGAAGUGCAUCAACAUUGUAUUUGUCACUGAAACUGCUCAUUUAGGUAUAUCUCAGUACUUUAAAUAUGAAAUUAAUGGAAAUCAUGUAAAGUCUUUAUUCGAUGUUAAAUUAUAAAACAUGAAAUGCUUGGUACUUGAUAGAAGCACGCCCUGUUUCUAUUUUAAUUGUACACAAAUUUACCAAUUAUAAUUAAGAUUUACUGUAAGUUCAGUAACACCCAUCCUGUAUUAUUUUGCAUUGAUCCUUAAAUCUAGCAGUACAGUAUUUACAAUAAUGUAGAAAAAAAGUGAUUAAAUUCUGUUGCAUGUUCCUCAAGAUAUUUUAUCAUGGUGACUCUGGUUUGCGUGCCAGUUAUAUUUUACCUGUUGGGCCAUGUGGCCGUGUAUUCAAUUUUUGAAUAAAGUGUGCCUAAAUACAAUACAA
RNAcentral lists this long non-coding RNA (1673 nucleotides) under Anneissia japonica. RNAcentral describes it as "uncharacterized LOC117118335". Lineage: Eukaryota; Metazoa; Echinodermata; Crinoidea; Comatulida; Comatulidae. The record is from RNAcentral.